UUCAUAGAUUAGGUAUAAUUGUUAUGUACAUUAAUCUUCUGCAUCAUCUUUGUAAUACUAUACAUGUGGCUACUACAUGGGUCCGACAAAAAUACUAUACAUGUGGCUACAUAUAACAUGUGCGGCACAAAAUCGACAAAUAUACUUACCCUUGACCCUUUGACAGUGAUUCCACAUUAUCUUUGAAACUUAAAACAGGGUACAUUCUAAAUCAGGAGCAAAACAGAAAUAUGGAUGAUUAUGGAACACUAAAGAGGAAAACUACAUAUCGAGGGAGAGAAGACGGAUGACUCAUGGGCUUAACUUCAUCUACAUCUACAAAUUGGGACAAGCUUGAAGUCAUGAAACAAGCAUGGGACGAACUCUGCAUCACAUAAUUGUACACAAAGUUACCAAGGAAAGUGGUUCAUCAUGUUGGCUGUUAUGUCUUUCACACGCUAAAGGUAUGAAUGUAAUUGAAUUUUCGUAGGUUCCUUUCUUUUUUUUUUACUUUCAGUGGAUUUCUCCUCGCUACUGUUCUUGCUCUCGAGUUUCAAGGAUGUUUGCACUUUUGUUGCUGUGUGUUCAAGCUCUAGAUAUGUUUUUUCAAUCAAUCUUGCUCAUACCUCCUUUUUCCCCCCUUCAUUUUCCUCUCUUUCUCGGUUGCUGCUCAAUUACUUUCACACUUCUUAAUUUUCCAAUUCACUAACAUUUGUGGGUAAAUAUAUGAGUAUCAUUGGAAGGCGAUAGCGGCAAAGUAACAGGUGAUGGUAGUAAUUUCAUUUGUUUUCUGUUCCUUUUUUUUUUAGUAUUAUGUUCAAAUUUGGUUAGAUUGAAGUUGAACGGAUCAUAUCUUUGAUUUUCUUUAAUUAUUCCUUUGCAUGUAUGUAAUGGUUUUUUUGUGUUGCAUUGAUCGACUUUGUCUAAUGACUUGCAUGUAUGCUACCAUUAUUGGAACAAAUACUGUGUGAUAACUCUACCUCAGUACUAUAAAAGUAGCACAAAAGAUGAAUAAAUGAGAAGGAAAAAAAGGAUUAAAAGCUGAAGAAAAUCAAUUGAUACAUCUAAUAAAGUGGGACACUGCCACAUUGGAGAAGAAAAUUGUAGAUUUAGAAAUAAAUAGAAUAAGAGUAAGAAAUGGUAGUUUACUCAUGAAGUGGUUAUGGAGAUAUAUUGUGAAAGAAGAGUCACUUUAGAGAAGGGUGAAUAUGAAAGUAUGGGGUAAAAAAGGUGAAUGGUGCAUAAAUAAGUUUAUAGAGCCAUAUAAAAAUAAUGUAUGGAAAACAUAUAAGAAGAAUGUGGAUCUUUUUGAAUUAAUGUACUCUUUAUUUUAGAUGAUGGAAGAAAAAUAGUAUUCUGGCAUAACAACGGAUGAGGUCACCUACUUUUAUUUCGAGUUUUUAUGGAUCUAACUCCUUUGCAAUUCAAAGACAUUUGAUAUACUUUUCAAUUAGUAAUUUUGGAUCCUUGCUCGCUUUAAUAAUUACACCUCGACUAAGCUAAGGUGGCAAAAAACAAUCAAGGUCUAGAGACAGAACAACAAGCAGGCUAAACUAUGGGAAGGGUUAAUUUCAGAUUCUCUUAAAUGUCAAGCCUUCAGGUACAAUUUCACAGACUUUUUUCAGGCUCUUCAAAUUUUGGCCCCCUUUUCUUCAAAAAGAAACAUAGUGUUCUGUUUGGUGAACUGAUAAUGAUUA
Long non-coding RNA from Solanum tuberosum (potato), 1676 nucleotides. RefSeq lists it as uncharacterized. Lineage: Eukaryota; Viridiplantae; Streptophyta; Magnoliopsida; Solanales; Solanaceae. The record is from RefSeq and is a predicted model, not a curated record. The transcript is spliced from 3 exons.